ACCAUGAGUCGACGGUCUUUUAGGAGACAGUGGCGGACGGGUGAGUAACGCGUAAGAAUCUACCUUCAGGUUGGGGACAACCACUGGAAACGGUGGCUAAUACCGAAUGUGCCGAGAGGUGAAAGGCUUGCUGCCUGAAGAAGAGCUUGCGUCUGAUUAGCUAGUUGGUAGUGUAAGAGACUACCAAGGCGACGAUCAGUAGCUGGUCUGAGAGGAUGAUCAGCCACACUGGGACUGAGACACGGCCCAGACUCCUACGGGAGGCAGCAGUGGGGAAUUUUCCGCAAUGGGCGAAAGCCUGACGGAGCAAUACCGCGUGAGGGAGGAAGGCUCUUGGGUUGUAAACCUCUUUUCUCAGGGAAGAACAGAAUGACGGUACCUGAGGAAUAAGCAUCGGCUAACUCCGUGCCAGCAGCCGCGGUAAUACGGAGGAUGCAAGCGUUAUCCGGAAUGAUUGGGCGUAAAGGGUCCGCAGGUGGCAUUGUAAGUCUGCUGUUAAAGAGUUUGGCUCAACCAAAUAAGAGCAGUGGAAACUACAAAGCUAGAGUGUGGUCGGGGCAGAGGGAAUUCCUGGUGUAGCGGUGAAAUGCGUAGAUAUCAGGAAGAACACCAGUGGCGAAGGCGCUCUGCUAGGCCGAGACUGAGACUGAGGGACGAAAGCUAGGGGAGCGAAUGGGAUUAGAUACGCCAGUAGUCCUAGCCGUAAACGAUGGAUACUAGGCGUAUCUUGUAUUGUACCCAGCUCGCCGUACCUCACGAAUUAAGUAUCCCCCGGGGGAGUACGCAGGCAACUUUGAAACUCAAUGGAAUGGACGGGGCCCGCACCAUCGCUGCAGAAUGGGGUGUAAUUGGAUGCAACGCGAAGAACCUUACCAAGGCUUGACAUGUCACGAAUCCUAUUGAAAGAUGGGAGCGCCUUCGGGAGCGUGAACACAGUUAGCGCAUGGCUGUCUUCAUCUCGUGUCGUUUGAGAAAAGAGAAGUCCAACCCAACAGCGCACUCCUCCUUUUUGGUGGGGUCCAUCAGGCUUUGGCCUCACCACAGAAAAUUCCCCCCAAACCCUCCCGGAGAGGAUGGUCUCAAAAUCAGCAUACCCUGCGUGUUUUCCUCCACACAGGCACUACAAUGUUAGGGACAAAGGGCAGCUACACAGCGAUGUGAUGCGAAUUUCGUAAACCGUAGCUCAGUUCAGAUCGAAGGCUGCAACUCGCCUUCGUGAAGGAGGAAUCGCUAGUAAUUGCAGGUCAGCAUACUGCAGUGAAUUCGUUCCCGGGCCUUGUACACACCGCCCGUCACACCAUGGAAGUUGGUCACGCCCGAAGUA
Molecule: ribosomal RNA, 1324 nt
Filed under: Aphanizomenon flos-aquae 617
Lineage: Bacteria; Bacillati; Cyanobacteriota; Cyanophyceae; Nostocales; Aphanizomenonaceae
Description: partial 16S ribosomal RNA
Rfam family: Bacterial small subunit ribosomal RNA
Source: RNAcentral